CAGGAACGUCAGCAUGGCAUUCAUGCGCCCCGCCUUGCGUCCAGGCGGGCCAGGCGCGCUUCCAGCGCCGCCGCCGAGCGCGCCAGCGCGUCGCUGUC
RNAcentral lists this transfer RNA (98 nucleotides) under Bordetella bronchiseptica. Its description in RNAcentral is "tRNA-Thr(cgt)". RNAcentral also lists the same sequence under 3 other names. Lineage: Bacteria; Pseudomonadati; Pseudomonadota; Betaproteobacteria; Burkholderiales; Alcaligenaceae. The record is from RNAcentral.